AACGAACGCUGGCGGCAGGCUUAACACAUGCAAGUCGAACGAGAUCUUCGGAUCUAGUGGCAGACGGGUGAGGAACACGUGGGAACAUUCCUUUCAGUUCGGAAUAACGUUGGGAAACUAACGCUAAUACCGGAUACGUCCUUCGGGAGAAAGAUUUAUCGCUGAAAGAUUGGCUCGCGUCUGAUUAGCUAGUUGGUGAGGUUAAGGAUCACCAAGGCUAGGAUCAAUAGCUGAUCUGAGAGGAUGAUCAGCCAGAUUUGGACUGAGACUCGGUCCAAAAUUCUACGAGAGGCAGCAAUGAGGAAUUUUGGACAAGUGGCGCAAGCCUGUUCCAGCCAUGACGCGAAAGUAAUGACAGCCUUCGGGUUGUAAAGCUCUUUUGUCCGGGAAGAUAAUGUCUGUACCGGAAGAAUAAGCCCCGGCAAACGUCGUGCCAGCCGCCACAGUAA
This 449-nucleotide ribosomal RNA is filed under the name uncultured bacterium. RNAcentral's name for it is "partial 16S ribosomal RNA". It matches the Rfam family "Bacterial small subunit ribosomal RNA", at positions 29 to 523 of the family's 1533-position model. The record is from RNAcentral.